CUCGGUAGUCUUUUUGAGUACCUGUGAGACAUCACCUAAAUCAGGGUGAGUUUCUGCUUUAAUGAGGGAACUCCCAGCAUGUCCCCUUGGCUCGGGGCAGCUGAGGCUGCUUAGGGGCAACCAGCCCAAAGCCAGGCCAUCUGAAGGGGUGCCCUCUGGAGAAGGCGUCAAAAGGCAGUGUGAGGGCGGUGUGCUGCUGUGCUCACAGCUCUGGGAGGCAGGGGCGGGAGAGGGACUAUGAAGGCAGCACAUUUUGCCUCUGCCUGUGAGUUUCUUCCAGAUAUACUGAGGAGGCAAGAAUACCAAGACACUCUAGAAUACUGCAACCACUUCAGAGGGACUGAAUCAAUGCAGUUGGAGACAGCAUAGACUUACUUCACCUUCAUCCUCCCAUCAGAGAAGGAUGCGUCCUUUAUGCCAGGAGGCUGACAGAACUUUCAGAAAUUGCUCAGCUCCCUGGACACGUCUGCUGCCAUGAGAUGUCUCUGCCAAGGAUUUUGAGCCAAGAUAUGAGGGAAAUGGUUUAACCAGAUGUGUGCCCAUGCCUGCGACACUGAACUUUGAGAUGCUGAUAUUUAAAAUGCUUGCCAUCUCCUCUGCCUCCCAGCAGCAAGGCAUUUGUGCUAUAUAUAUUGAAGUACUUCACUUCUCCAUGUGACCAGCUACGUGCGCUGUGAGAAAGUAAAUCCAGACUUCAAAGCAUCUGACAGGAGGCAGGCAGGCGUUGUUUCUUCAUCCGUCCAAGAAAGAAGCUGAAGCACAGAGUGGCAAGGUCUCCCAGAGAAGACUGUGUGCCCUCUACAUGCCCCACUGGUGAGAAGAGGAAGGAAGUUUUAUAAAGACGAAAGUGAGAGCUGAGGAAACGAGGUAGGUGGGAUAUGGAAAACCCCUUCUGUCUCAAGAAUCACCACUGACUGCAGCUUACAGAGAGCUCGGGCCAUUGGUGCAUCCUGAGGAUCUGUCCAGCUCUGUGUUUUUAGAAGUAUCUAAAAAAUACCCAGACAGAAAUACUUGUGAUUCACAGGAUGGGAUAUGUGGAAGAACCAACAGAGGUGCACAGAAAAAAAUGCUGAUUGUUUAGUACCAAAACAGGUAUUUAAAUCGCACUGUUGGGAAGACUGAAUUUCAUGACCAAAUCUAUCCUCCUGACAUACAAGGAAAAGUUCAGUGAGACUAAGAUAUGAAUACAUACAGCUGCCACUGGGUUUCCUCUCAAGAAAGAAGAGAAAAAGCAAAAACAAAUAAACAAACCCAAACUGCCACCUUGAGCCUGAAUUUAGA
Long non-coding RNA from Pezoporus flaviventris, 1281 nucleotides. RefSeq lists it as uncharacterized. Lineage: Eukaryota; Metazoa; Chordata; Aves; Psittaciformes; Psittacidae. The transcript has 7 exons. The record is from RefSeq and is a predicted model, not a curated record.